AUUGAACGCUGGCGGCAGGCCUAACACAUGCAAGUCGAGCGGAUGAAGGGAGCUUGCUCCUGGAUUCAGCGGCGGACGGGUGAGUAAUGCCUAGGAAUCUGCCUGGUAGUGGGGGAUAACGUCCGGAAACGGGCGCUAAUACCGCAUACGUCCUGAGGGCGACAGUGGGGGAUCUUCGGACCUCACGCUAUCAGAUGAGCCUAGGUCGGAUUAGCUAGUUGGUGGGGUAAAGGCCUACCAAGGCGACGAUCCGUAACUGGUCUGAGAGGAUGAUCAGUCACACUGGAACUGAGACACGGUCCAGACUCCUACGGGAGGCAGCAGUGGGGAAUAUUGGACAAUGGGCGAAAGCCUGAUCCAGCCAUGCCGCGUGUGUGAAGAAGGUCUUCGGAUUGUAAAGCACUUUAAGUUGGGAGGAAGGGCAGUAAGUUAAUACCUUGCUGUUUUGACGUUACCAACAGAAUAAGCACCGGCUAACUUCGUG
RNAcentral lists this ribosomal RNA (484 nucleotides) under uncultured bacterium. Its description in RNAcentral is "partial 16S ribosomal RNA". It matches the Rfam family "Bacterial small subunit ribosomal RNA", at positions 30 to 507 of the family's 1533-position model. The record is from RNAcentral.